This 1188-nucleotide long non-coding RNA is filed under the name Monodelphis domestica (gray short-tailed opossum). Its description in RNAcentral is "lncRNA (ENSMODG00000041177.1)". Lineage: Eukaryota; Metazoa; Chordata; Mammalia; Didelphimorphia; Didelphidae. The record is from RNAcentral.
AUGGCUGGACAGUGUGUUCCGGGGGGGACGUGCCCAUCCCCAUGGACACAUGAGACGGCGCGACACCCCGAUGGCCAGAGAGGCUGCCGAAAAGCUCUGGGUGUCCAAUGCUGCUCUGACGGGGGGCGUCGCGGCCAGCCGCUGCCCCAGGACACGGGGGCGAGAAGACUGCGCCGGAGACUCCUUGGGGCUUCCGUGGCGGCGUGUGCUGGGCAGGAGCUUCCCGGGCGCUGCUUUGACACUUGGACACCAGGACCGUCGGCCCCUUCGGUCCAUGGGGAAUUCUGUGCCGAUUCAAGGCCUCUUUUGCCUUUUGCCUUAUGUUGCCCGGCAUGCGCGAAGAUGGAGCGCCGCCGAGGAGCCCCGCGAUGGUGGCUUCUGCUAAACAGCAGCCCAUUCGUGGGCGUUUCGGAAGACGGAAGGACGGGAUUGGAGGGUUUCCUACGGACGGACGCUCCGAUGGCCGGCCAGGAUCUGCCCCCGAGGGGAGCGUGUGGAGCUUGGCAGUGGGCUUCCUCCAGCUCAUGCCUCCCCCCGUGGGUUAGGGAGCCCCUCGUCCCCCUCCCUCGGCGGCCCAGGAAAGUCACGGCCCGCCUUUGGGGCCGGAAGAACACGGGCCUCGCUCCUUCCUCUGGCCUCCUUCGCGGGCCUUUCCACAGAAAGGGGGAUGGUGGGGCCUGCCGAGUCGGCCGUCUGCCCGUAGAUCUCAGAGGGAAGAGCGAAGUCGACCCCAGAUUGCACUUGAAUUCAUACGCAGGCGUGUUGGCUUUGGAUGGACAGGCCCGAGGGGGCUGGAGCCUCCGGGAGGGAGCCAGGCUCGGCCGCUGGCACGGGGCGGGCCGGUGCGUAGCAGGCUGUGUCUCGUUCACGGCGGUCUGCCUUCUCCCCAUUCGUCGCCGUUCACAAGGUGCGUGUCUGGGGAAGCCACCCGCGGGCCCCUCCCCAAAGCUGUCCGGGGGCGUCUUCUCUGGCUCCUGCCGGCUUCCCUGGGGCCCAGGAGGCUGCCCUCCGGCCCCAGGAUUUCCCCCAGUUUGCCCGCUAACAGAACUCCAGGGAAGAGAGCGGGGCCUGCCCGACACUCCCUCUGAGCCCACGUGUUUGCAGAAAGGCCUUCAGGGCGCCUCCGGGGAGGGGAGCAAAGAUCUUGCUGGGCAGCUGGUGGGGGCCGGAGGAGAGGGACGGCCAUAA